GACGAACGCUGGCGGCGUGCUUAACACAUGCAAGUGGAGCGACGAACCAGGGCUUGCCCUGGGGCAGAGCCGCGAACGGGUGAGUAACACGUGGGUAACGUGCCCCGAUGAUCGGGACAACCCGGGGAAACCGGGCUAAUACCGAAUGUGCUCCCCUCACACCAGUGAGGGAUGGAAAGGAAGCUUCGGCCUCCGCAUCGGGAUCGGCCCGCGGCCCAUUAGCUUGUUGGUGAGGUAACGGCUCACCAAGGCUGCGAUGGGUAGCUGGUCUGAGAGGACGAUCAGCCACACUGGGACUGAGACACGGCCCAGACUCCUACGGGAGGCAGCAGUGGGGAAUCUUGCGCAAUGCGCGAAAGCGUGACGCAGCAACGCCGCGUGGGGAAGACGGCCU
RNAcentral lists this ribosomal RNA (394 nucleotides) under uncultured bacterium. Its description in RNAcentral is "bacterial SSU rRNA". It matches the Rfam family "Bacterial small subunit ribosomal RNA", at positions 28 to 417 of the family's 1533-position model. The record is from RNAcentral.